Long non-coding RNA from Lucilia sericata (common green bottle fly), 778 nucleotides. RefSeq lists it as uncharacterized. The record is from RefSeq and is a predicted model, not a curated record. NCBI's taxonomy places the organism in Eukaryota, Metazoa, Arthropoda, Insecta, Diptera, Calliphoridae. The transcript is spliced from 4 exons.
AAAAACGUAUAAUCCCAAAGAAAAAAAUAUUUUGAAAUAAAAAUAAAACUUUAGCGAAUAAAAUCAAUUUAAAAGGAAGAUUUAAACAAGCAAUCCAAAAAACCAAAAUAAAAAGGAAUUGAAAGAAUUUCAAAUAUAAAUAAGAUAUUUUCAAAUAAAAUAACGUAAAAUCGAGAAUUUAAACGGAAAGAUCGAAAACACAAAGUAAAGCUGAAAAUGGAAGGAAAUAAAAUACAAGAAAAUUCUAAGGAAGAAGUCGGCAAUUUCGAAAAUCAAAAAGACAAUGUUGGUUGCUAUUGAAAAUUUUGGAACAAAGGAACAACAAAAUGGGCCACAAUAGGAUUUGGAAAUUCCUUUUUAUUGAGGACGAUCAAAAUCUUUUAGCUGUUCGCUCCAAGUUAUAUACAAUAUCCGUAGUAAUGGGGUAUAAUAUGUUCUAUGCGGCAAUUUAUGUCAUGUGGAUAAUGUUACGUAUAAUAUUGUCUACAGCACCGGGAAGAUUAGACAACUACAUUCGUUUUUAAAUAUUACAUAAUUGUUUAUACUUCUUCUGUUCUUGUGUUAAACUGUUUAUUUCAAAAUUAAUGUUGAUAUUCAUCUCCAUUCUUUAAAACAAAAAAGUUUUAAAUAGAAUUUUGUUGUGUUUUUCAUAAAUGAUAAAAUUUAAAUGAAAAAUGGAGAUAAAUUCUAUUCAAAAUCUUUUUGUUUAUGGAACGGAGAGGAAUAAAGGUUUCUUGUUAUUUGUUUGUUAUUUUUUAAUUUGUUUGAAAUAAAUGUU